This 1104-nucleotide long non-coding RNA is filed under the name Triticum aestivum (bread wheat). RNAcentral describes it as "long non-coding RNA (TAES_LNC013291)". The record is from RNAcentral. Lineage: Eukaryota; Viridiplantae; Streptophyta; Magnoliopsida; Poales; Poaceae.
AAAAAAUGCCCUAAAGGUCUAUGCACAACAUCCACCCUCAUGAUCGUACCAAUACACAUAAGCCCAUGCGAUUGUGUACAGAGGACCAAAAGUUGAAAUGCAUAACAGCCACUGUAAUGGACGGCAAUCGAAUGAAUAUUACAGAACUGUGAAAACACGGAAGGCUUCUUCCUAUAGGGAUACUAUUAUUGUUACGAGACUAAACAAACAUUAAGAACAAAAUUAUUACAAAGAAAUAUGGCAGGUCACACCAAAACCGAAGUGGUACUUCACAAAUGACGAAAACUCAAGACCCUACUCGGACUUGCAUGUAGAAAAUAGCAAGCAGUGAAUUUCAACGCGCUCAUAAAAAUAGGCAUCAGGCUCAGAAUUCUGAAUGGGAGAAUGGGAGCGCACUGUCAACACAGCACAAAUCGCCCAACAAAUGUUCAAUCUCAUGCAACACACAAGCUCAAAUGAUGCUUUGCUUUGUGCCUGAACCAUCCUUUGUCAAAUCUGAGACAGUAACUGGCUUCGCAACAGCAUCAACAAGAGAUAGCUCAUUUGUAUCUUUCACAAGUGCAUUAACCACAUCGGCAGAUACUCCAGUGCUCAGUUGGACAACUGUCGAGUGCUUAUCACCACUAACUUCUAGAGCAUUUGCUAAAUUGUUGGCUGCAGAACUAGAUGGUUGAUCUGCUUCAUGUGUAUUCAGGAAGAGACAAACAACAGCACAGUCAUCAAUUUUAGAAGUAGGGUACCUAGUACGCCAGGCACGAUUAGCUGAUUCAACCAGGAAGCGUGCUGCAGAAGCCCGAGAAGUAGCUCUGCUUAUGAUGCUAACAACUUCAGUGUUUGACAGCACAUCCCACACCUAGAAUUAGCAAACAAGUUAGAUAAUUGCAUCAUGUACCAGAAAACCUUCGACUUAGGAGUCUCUGGAAAUGAUAUGGUAUAACUCAAAACAUCUGCUCACCCCAUCAGUCGCCAACACGAUAAAUUCAUCCUUCUCUGUGACACGGUGACAGGAGACUUCAGGCAUAGAAAUUAGACCAUACUCCUUAAGACAGAAGUCUCCAAAUGCCCUUGCCAUGGCCAAUCCAGGUGAGUUAUACUUUGGCAGCC